UGGGAAUUUUGGACAAUGGGCGAAGCCUGAUCCAGCAAUGCCGCGUGUGUGAAGAAGGCCUUCGGGUUGUAAAGCACUUUUGUCCGGAAAGAAAUCCUUGGCUCUAAUACAGUCGGGGGAUGACGGUACCGGAAGAAUAAGCACCGGCUAACUACGUGCCAGCAGCCGCGGUAAUACGUAGGGUGCAAGCGUUAAUCGGAAUUACUGGGCGUAAAGCGUGCGCAGGCGGUUUGCUAAGACCGAUGUGAAAUCCCCGGGCUCAACCUGGGAACUGCAUUGGUGACUGGCAGGCUAGAGUAUGGCAGAGGGGGGUAGAAUUCCACGUGUAGCAGUGAAAUGCGUAGAGAUGUGGAGGAAUACCGAUGGCGAAGGCAGCCCCCUGGGCCAAUACUGACGCUCAUGCACGAAAGCGUGGGGGAGCAAACAGGAUUAGAUACCCCUGGUAGUCCACGCCCUAAACGAUGUCAACUGUUGUUGGGGAUUCAUUUCCUUAGUAACGUAGCUAACGCGUGAAGUUGACCGCCUGGGGAGUAC
RNAcentral lists this ribosomal RNA (534 nucleotides) under uncultured bacterium. RNAcentral's name for it is "partial 16S ribosomal RNA". It matches the Rfam family "Bacterial small subunit ribosomal RNA", at positions 356 to 883 of the family's 1533-position model. The record is from RNAcentral.